This is a long non-coding RNA of Lolium rigidum, 1177 nucleotides long. RefSeq lists it as uncharacterized. The transcript is spliced from 4 exons. The record is from RefSeq and is a predicted model, not a curated record. NCBI's taxonomy places the organism in Eukaryota, Viridiplantae, Streptophyta, Magnoliopsida, Poales, Poaceae.
UCGGCGGGCUGAUGCGCACGUUCACGCCGGAAAUAUCGGCAGACGGCUCUCCGUGCCGUAGGCGCCGCCCAGGCUCGACUCCAUGGCCCUGCCAUCCUUGGAGCAAGUGCAGUUAUAGAGAAGCAGUAAAUUACUCUCAUCAGCUAGGCAUCAAGCAGAUUACAGUCCAUUGCAAGUUAUGGAGAAGCAGUAAGUUACUCUCAUCAGCUAGGCAUCGAGCAGAUUCAGUCCAUUGCAAGGUUUGCAGCUGGGAGAAGCCCAGAGAUUUAGAGUACCGCUUCAACAAGUUUCCGCUGAUUCAGCUGUAGUACCAAACUUUUUUGAUGGAUUCUGUUGGUUAAAUGUAUUAUGGAGAGCUUCCGCCUCCCUGUGAUUCAGCUGGAUUUCCGUUAAACGGUUGAGGAAAGGCUCGUCGAGUCUCCAAUGGUUUUCUUUUCCAAGCGCCAGAUGCUCGCCGAUACGGGUCGUGUGGAAGAAAAUUGUCCAAGCGCCCGGCAAUUGAUUAAAUCUGUGCAGCAGAGCAGAAGGGAUGUGGGUCACGGCAUUGUGCUAGUGUUGCACUGCAGAAGAGGAGAUAACUUAACUCGAUGCAUAUCUGUCAUGAGGAGAAGAGAGAGGAAGCCUGCUAUUGUGAUUUUGCUUCAAUUGGAUUCCGACCAAGGUCACCAUGGAGGGAUCAAAAAACUGAGUGCUCAGGAGGUACCAGUUGGUCAACGAUAAUGAACCCCAAUUCAUGCACAUUCUAUUAUUGGUCCUUGUUCUCCAAGAUCCGCAAAGCAUGCACAAGAGGAUUCCGUCAAAAUCGAGGUGAGACAUCUUUUACUGGAGUGGCCUCUGUUGCUACUUUCUUAGGUUUCCUGCAAGAUAACUAUGGAGAUCAGGUGUGAACUGAUUGAGUAAACAAACCACCACAAGAAUUAUCAAUCUAAACUAAUGCAUAGGGUUAUCUUUAUUGCCUGCACAUGUUGUGAGGUCAUAUAUCUAGUGUUCAAGAAUCAAGAUCAUAGCAUCAUGCCAGAGCCAUCAUGACCAAGGAAAUGAAUCAAAAGCUCGUGUGGAUAGUUCAAAUCUUUUUUACCAAAAUUUAAACAAAUUCAUAAUGCAAUUGGAAAAGGUAAUAAGGAAGGCAUAAUUUGUAAGCAUCUUGGAGUAAUUUGCUAGCCUUUUAACAUUAGUA